UGGGGAAUAUUGGACAAUGGGCGAAAGCCUGAUCCAGCCAUGCCGCGUGUGUGAAGAAGGUCUUCGGAUUGUAAAGCACUUUAAGUUGGGAGGAAGGGCCAUUACCUAAUACGUGAUGGUUUUGACGUUACCGACAGAAUAAGCACCGGCUAACUCUGUGCCAGCAGCCGCGGUAAUACAGAGGGUGCAAGCGUUAAUCGGAAUUACUGGGCGUAAAGCGCGCGUAGGUGGUUUGUUAAGUUGGAUGUGAAAUCCCCGGGCUCAACCUGGGAACUGCAUUCAAAACUGACUGACUAGAGUAUGGUAGAGGGUGGUGGAAUUUCCUGUGUAGCGGUGAAAUGCGUAGAUAUAGGAAGGAACACCAGUGGCGAAGGCGACCACCUGGACUGAUACUGACACUGAGGCGCGAAAGCGUGGGGAGCAAACAGGAUUAGAUACCCCGGUAGUCCCUGAGCGGGCUGGCAAGGCGCAU
Molecule: ribosomal RNA, 472 nt
Filed under: uncultured bacterium
Lineage: Bacteria
Description: bacterial SSU rRNA
Rfam family: Bacterial small subunit ribosomal RNA
Source: RNAcentral